CCUACGGCGGGCAGCAGUGGGGAAUAUUGGGCAAUGGGGGGAACCCUGACCCAGCGACGCCGCGUGGGUGAAGAAAUCCUUCGGGAUGUAAAGCCCUGUUGUAUGGGAAGAGCAGAAGACGGUACCAUACGAGGAAGCCCCGGCAAACUACGUGCCAGCAGCCGCGGUAAUACGUAGGGGGCAAGCGUUGUACGGAAUUACUGGGCGUAAAGCGCACGCAGGCUGAAUUAUAAGUCGGUAGUGAAAGGCGGAGGCUCAACUUCCGUUU
RNAcentral lists this ribosomal RNA (268 nucleotides) under uncultured prokaryote. Its description in RNAcentral is "partial 16S ribosomal RNA". It matches the Rfam family "Bacterial small subunit ribosomal RNA", at positions 338 to 621 of the family's 1533-position model. The record is from RNAcentral.